This 253-nucleotide ribosomal RNA is filed under the name uncultured bacterium. RNAcentral describes it as "partial 16S ribosomal RNA". It matches the Rfam family "Bacterial small subunit ribosomal RNA", at positions 524 to 776 of the family's 1533-position model. The record is from RNAcentral.
GACAGAGGGUGCAAACGUUGUUCGGAAUUACUGGGCGUAAAGCGCGUGUAGGCGGCCCGGAAAGUCGGAUGUGAAAGCCCUGGGCUUAACCUAGGAAGUGCAUUCGAAACUCCCGGGCUUGAGUUCUGGAGAGGAAGGCGGAAUUCUCGGUGUAGAGGUGAAAUUCGUAGAUAUCGAGAGGAACACCGGUGGCGAAGGCGGCCUUCUGGACAGUGACUGACGCUGAGACGCGAAAGCGUGGGGAGCAAACGGG